AGUGAACGCUGGCGGUAGGCCUAACACAUGCAAGUCGAACGGCAGCACAGUAAGGGCUUGCUCUUACGGGUGGCGAGUGGCGGACGGGUGAGGAAUACAUCGGAAUCUACUUUUUCGUGGGGGAUAACGUAGGGAAACUUACGCUAAUACCGCAUACGACCUACGGGUGAAAGCAGGGGAUCUUCGGACCUUGCGCGAUUGAAUGAGCCGAUGUCGGAUUAGCUAGUUGGCGGGGUAAAGGCCCACCAAGGCGACGAUCCGUAGCUGGUCUGAGAGGAUGAUCAGCCACACUGGAACUGAGACACGGUCCAGACUCCUACGGGAGGCAGCGGUGGGGAAUAUUGGACAAUGGGCGCAAGCCUGAUCCAGCCAUACCGCGUGGGUGAAGAAGGCCUUCGGGUUGUAAAGCCCUUUUGUUGGGAAAGAAAAGCAGCAGGUUAAUACCCCGCUGUUCUGACGGUACCCAAAGAAUAAGCACCGGCUAACUUCGUG
Molecule: ribosomal RNA, 492 nt
Filed under: uncultured bacterium
Lineage: Bacteria
Description: partial 16S ribosomal RNA
Rfam family: Bacterial small subunit ribosomal RNA
Source: RNAcentral